Alligator mississippiensis (American alligator) is the source of this 72-nucleotide transfer RNA. It matches the Rfam family "tRNA". Rfam says of the family: Transfer RNA (tRNA) molecules are approximately 80 nucleotides in length. Their secondary structure includes four short double-helical elements and three loops (D, anti-codon, and T loops). The record is from Rfam. NCBI's taxonomy places the organism in Eukaryota, Metazoa, Chordata, Crocodylia, Alligatoridae.
GGCCCCAUAGCACAAUGGUAGUGCAUCUGACUCCAGAUCAGAAGGUUGUGUGUUCAAGUCAUACUGGGGUCA